RNAcentral lists this ribosomal RNA (861 nucleotides) under uncultured bacterium. RNAcentral describes it as "bacterial SSU rRNA". It matches the Rfam family "Bacterial small subunit ribosomal RNA", at positions 8 to 916 of the family's 1533-position model. The record is from RNAcentral.
AGAGUUUGAUCAUGGCUCAGAGCGAACGCUGGCGGCAGGCCUAACACAUGCAAGUCGAACGAACCCUUCGGGGUUAGUGGCGGACGGGUGAGUAACACGUGGGAACGUGCCCUUUGGUUCGGAAUAACACAGGGAAACUUGUGCUAAUACCGGAUGAGCCCUACGGGGGAAAGAUUUAUCGCCGAAGGAGCGGCCCGCGUCGGAUUAGCUAGUUGGUGGGGUAAAGGCCCACCAAGGCUACGAUCCGUAGCUGGUCUGAGAGGAUGAUCAGCCACACUGGGACUGAGACACGGCCCAGACUCCUACGGGAGGCAGCAGUGGGGAAUCUUGCGCAAUGGGCGAAAGCCUGACGCAGCCAUGCCGCGUGGAUGAUGAAGGUCUUAGGAUUGUAAAAUCCUUUCACCGGGGACGAUAAUGACGGUACCCGGAGAAGAAGCCCCGGCUAACUUCGUGCCAGCAGCCGCGGUAAUACGAAGGGGGCUAGCGUUGCUCGGAAUUACUGGGCGUAAAGGGCGCGUAGGCGGGUCGUCAAGUUGGGGGUGAAAGCCCGGGGCUCAACCUCGGAAUUGCCUUCAAAACUGACGACCUAGAGUUUGGGAGAGGUGUGUGGAACUCCGAGUGUAGAGGUGAAAUUCGUAGAUAUUCGGAAGAACACCAGUGGCGAAGGCGACACACUGGCCCAAUACUGACGCUGAGGCGCGAAAGCGUGGGGAGCAAACAGGAUUAGAUACCCUGGUAGUCCACGCCGUAAACGAUGAGUGCUAGUUGUCGGCAUGCAUGCAUGUCGGUGACGCAGCUAACGCAUUAAGCACUCCGCCUGGGGAGUACGGUCGCAAGAUUAAAACUCAAAGGAAUUGACGG